This 240-nucleotide ribosomal RNA is filed under the name uncultured bacterium. RNAcentral's name for it is "partial 16S ribosomal RNA". It matches the Rfam family "Bacterial small subunit ribosomal RNA", at positions 117 to 353 of the family's 1533-position model. The record is from RNAcentral.
GUGGGUAACCUGCCUUAUAGUGGGGGAUAGCCUUUCGAAAGGAAGAUUAAUACCGCAUAAGAUUGUAGUAUCGCAUGAUAUAGCAAUUAAAGGAGCAAUUCGCUAUAAGAUGGACCUGCGUCGCAUUAGCUAGUUGGUGAGGUAAUGGCUCACCAAGGCGACGAUGCGUAGCCGACCUGAGAGGGUGAUCGGCCACAUUGGAACUGAGACACGGUCCAGACUCCUACGGGAGGCAGCAUG